RNAcentral lists this ribosomal RNA (301 nucleotides) under uncultured bacterium. Its description in RNAcentral is "partial 16S ribosomal RNA". It matches the Rfam family "Bacterial small subunit ribosomal RNA", at positions 512 to 808 of the family's 1533-position model. The record is from RNAcentral.
CAGUCGCCGGGUAAUACGAAGGGGGCUAGCGUUGUUCGGAAUUACUGGGCGUAAAGCGCACGUAGGCGGAUAUUUAAGUCAGGGGUGAAAUCCCGCAGCUCAACUGCGGAACUGCCUUUGAUACUGGGUAUCUUGAGUAUGGAAGAGGUUAGUGGAAUUGCGAGUGUAGAGGUGAAAUUCGUAGAUAUUCGCAGGAACACCAGUGGCGAAGGCGGCUAACUGGUCCAUAACUGACGCUGAGGUGCGAAAGCGUGGGGAGCAAACAGGAUUAGAUACCCCAGUAGUCCCUGUCUCUUAUACA